RNAcentral lists this ribosomal RNA (431 nucleotides) under uncultured bacterium. RNAcentral describes it as "partial 16S ribosomal RNA". It matches the Rfam family "Bacterial small subunit ribosomal RNA", at positions 29 to 507 of the family's 1533-position model. The record is from RNAcentral.
AACGAACGCUGGCGGCAUGCCUACACAUGCAAGUCAAACGAGACCUUCGGGUCUAGUGGCGCACGGGUGCGUAACGCGUGGGAACCUGCCCUUAGGUUCGGAAUAACUCCCCGAAAGGGGUGCUAAUACCGGAUAAUGUCUUCGGACCAAAGAUUUAUCGCCUUUGGAUGGGCCCGCGUUGGAUUAGCUAGUUGGUAGGGUAAAAGCCUACCAAGGCGACGAUCCAUAGCUGUCUGAGAGGAUGAUCAGCCACACUGGGACUGAGACACGGCCCAGACUCCUACGGGAAGCAGCAGUGGGGAAUAUUGGACAGUGGGCGAAAGCCUGAUCCAGCAAUGCCGCGUGAGUGAUGAAGGCCUUAGGGUUGUAAAGCUCUUUUACCCGGGAUGAUAAUGACAGUACCGGGAGAAUAAGCUCCGGCUAACUCCGUG